This 253-nucleotide ribosomal RNA is filed under the name uncultured bacterium. RNAcentral describes it as "partial 16S ribosomal RNA". It matches the Rfam family "Bacterial small subunit ribosomal RNA", at positions 524 to 776 of the family's 1533-position model. The record is from RNAcentral.
UACGUAGGGACCAAGCGUUGUUCGGAUUUACUGGGCGUAAAGGGCGCGUAGGCGGCCAGCACAAGUCAGUUGUGAAAUCUCCGAGCUUAACUCGGAAAGGUCAACUGAUACUGUGCGGCUAGAGUGCGGAAGGGGCACCGGAAUUCUUGGUGUAGCGGUGAAAUGCGUAGAUAUCAAGAGGAACACCUGCGGCGAAGGCGGGUUGCUGGGCCGACACGUGACGCUGAGGCGCGAAAGUCGGAGGGAGAACGGG